Molecule: long non-coding RNA, 2876 nt
Filed under: Bemisia tabaci
Lineage: Eukaryota; Metazoa; Arthropoda; Insecta; Hemiptera; Aleyrodidae
Description: lncRNA ENSSSA3NGG006782
Source: RNAcentral
GCGCAUAAUACCACAGACGAUACACACCGGCGCAGAAAACUACCGUUCCCGGCAAAUCGACGCUUGAAAGCUCACAAAGCUUCACGGAGAGUCUGCGGGCAGUCGCCAUCACUCCUCCUCCUCUUGAGCCGGUAUCCGAAGAAUCGCCCAAUCAGAUUCCUCGAUCUCUGCUUCUUUCCUCGUUCCAAAGUUCCAAAAAUAGCUAGACCCCAGUUCCCAUCUAAUUCCACAGAAUCCGAGAUCCACCGAAAUCUGCGCUUCGUGCGGCUGGAAACGUUCGAUUUGCGUGCUAUUAUUUCUAAUAUUACUUACGUCGCGAACGGUAAUCACAUAAUUAAUUACUACGAUUUUUCAUUGCAGUUUUUGAUUUCUUUAGUCGCGUUUGUGUGCUGAGAUUAAUUUGUCUUCGGUUCUAUGUGGAGUGAGUGAGGUGCAAUAUAAUUUCUUGUGUUUGCGCGGAGGAGUGCGGGCAAGUCGUUGCGAGACCUUGAAGACUUAUUUUCCUUGUUUUAUUUAUAUAAUUAACCCGCUGAAAUGGAUAUAUUCAACUCCCAGUUUCUCGGACCAUCCGUGGAGCCGGGCGGUCCAGCUAGCAAGAAUAACUAACCUUACAAAAGGCGGAAACUCCGAACGGAUGGAGGAUGGUCCAGAGUCGGUCCUCCGAAAAGAAAAGCUCCCCCUUUCGACCCGCCCCCAGGAGCCAUCGACAAUGGCGGCUCAAAGGAAGGUCUCGUUUUCGAAGACCAAGUACGGGAAGGACCUGGUGCAGUUGGACGGUUACGAGUACCGGAAAUUACGGGAGAGCAAGGGCGGUGUGAGGACUUGGCUGUGCGUCAAGGAGAAGUCCGGCGAGACCAAGUGUCACGGAUCCAUCAAAACAGAGGGAGAAUUCUACGUCGAGGGUAGUUCUAGGGAUCACUGCCACGCGCCGUCCGAUAUCGAACUCGAGGUCCGGAGGAAAAUCGAAAAUGCAAGCGGAGGGCGCGGGAAGACCAUCGCGUCCCCGUCCACCAGGUCUUUAACGAGGAAUUUACGGAGUUGAAAGAACGCGGUGCAGAGGUUUUGACAGCCCUCCCGAAGUACGCUAACGCUAAGACACAGCUGUGCUCUAUGAGAAGGGCAUCUUUGGGAAAUAAGCAAAAUAAGACCUCCAGCAGCAUUUCAACUGAUUCUGAUGGAACGAAACGCUUUCCGAAUUCGGGUGAGAUAUGCUAAACUGAGAGCUGUAAGUUUCCCGGAUCCAAUUUCGGAGUCCCAACGACCCCCAAUUCGUGCCCUAACAACCCUCACAGGUUUGCCACGGUCAGGGGAAAACUGGAAAUGUCAGGGAAUUUUCAAAAGGCAGGGAAAAUCUGCAAAUGUCAGGGAAAUGACAAAGUGUCAGAGAAAAAUUUUCAAUUUUCCUUAAGUAUAGCUUUCUAGAGAGGAUUUGACGGUUAGAACAACAAAUUUUGCCUAGCAAGUAUUACAAAGUAUGUCUUUUUGGCCGUAUGACAUAAUUUCAAUUUUCAGGAAAUACUCUAAGUGUCAGGAAAAUAAGGGAACUGUCAGAAAAUUCAUUUUCAAAAUUUUGUGGCAACCCUGGCCUAAAGUGAAAACCCUUUUUCCAGAAGCCAGCCCAAAUGGCCCCCAAUGCAGACCCCUACACUGCCGUGCUAAGGAAAAAUGGCGUAUGAGCAUCCAGAUGUUGCCAAAUUUCCCACCAGAAAAUAUUUAUUUUUGAAGAGAGUUAUGAAUAUUUUUCCUUGAAAUUUUCAGACUUUUUAGAUCACAUUUCGAACGAAAUCCUCUGAAAAUCAGAAGAGGAAUAUUCAUAAAUUUUCCCGAAAAUUCGAGAUUUGUCGAAGGAAAUUUGGCAACUCUCGAAGGUUCAUACGACGUUUUUCCUUAGCACGGAAGUAUAACCCUCAAAUAAAAACCUUUAUUUUAGGGCCUCGCGUGCUUUGAAAUUUAAGGUUAUGCCCACCGGUAACACAACGGGUAGAGUGAGAGGUCAUCGGUGACUUGUGGCACCUUAUAAUUUGCAAGAAUAUUUAAAAAACUUACCUUGAAAACGUUUUUCUAAUGUGAAACUAAGUCGUUGAAUAAAAAAAAAUAAUUGUUUGGCUUCCGAAAAUUGUAUUGAAGCGAAGAAAAUUUUUUUGUAUUCAAGAAUUUAUUAAGUAAGUGAAAUUCUCAAUGAAAUCGUUUAAUUCAAAGAAAAUUUUAUUUGUCAUCGAUUAUAUCUAAGUUAAGUUCUUGAAUGAAAAAAACGGGUUUACAUUAACUAACAUUUGCAAGAAAAAAAAAAUCUUCAAGUCUCAAAAAAUGUCUUUACGUAAAGAAAUGUCUCUAAAUGAUAAAAGCUAAAAGAUCUCCUCUAUAGAAAGAGCCGUAAGAAGUAUUUUUCAAAUCGAGGACCAAUUUUUUUUUCUAAAUUGAAACAAGUUUGUAAACCAUUUUCUUCAAUGAGAGGUGUAUAUUUCGAGUCUGUGAUAGCUCCUCAUAGAUGUCUGAAUGCAGGUUAUUGUAUUAAAGCCUUUUAAAACAUCAGAAAAACAUUCGCCGGCUUCCAAAAUUUCCUUCAGAGGAGUUAAGUCGUAAAGUUUGACGUACGUUUUUCGUAAUUUAAAACAGUAUGUGAAAGUCACGUGCUCAUUUUGCAUUUGUUAUCGUAAAUGCUGACCAUGCACGAAUUUUACAAGUAUAUUAUGACGUCGUAUGCAGGUGUAGGCUUUAGCAAGGCUGUUUACAUCGAAUAAAGAAUUGUAAAUCAGUAAUUUUCCUCUCAUUCGUUUUUUAACAAUUUCAGUUCUUUAUUUUAUGUUUUAGGCUUUUCAGAUUUGUAUAGUUAUUUUCGUUGUGUAAUUGUCUGCUGUGUACUUUUACUUGUUUCU